AGAAUCAACGCUGGCGGCGUGCCUAACACAUGCAAGUCGAACGAGAAAGUGGAGCAAUCCAUGAGUAAAGUGGCGACCGGGUGAGUAACACGUGACUAACCUACCUUCGAGUGGGGGAUAACCUCGGGAAACCGGGGCUAAUACCGCAUAACAUCUUUGAAGUGGAAAUUUCGGAGAUCAAAGGAGCAAUUCGCUGGAAGAGGGGGUCGCGGCUGAUUAGCUAGUUGGCGGGGUAACGCCCACCAAGGCUUAGAUCGGUAGCCGGCCUGAGAGGGCGCACGGCCACACUGGAACUGAAACACGGUCCAGACUCCUACGGGAGGCAGCAGUGGGGAAUUUUGCGCAAUGGGGGAAACCCUGACGCAGCAACGCCGCGUGGAGGAUGAAGUCCCUUGGGACGUAAACUCCUUUCGACCCGGACGAUAAUGACGGUACGGGUGGAAGAAGCCCCGGCUAACUUCGCGCCAGCAGCCGC
This 475-nucleotide ribosomal RNA is filed under the name uncultured bacterium. Its description in RNAcentral is "SSU rRNA". It matches the Rfam family "Bacterial small subunit ribosomal RNA", at positions 26 to 518 of the family's 1533-position model. The record is from RNAcentral.